GAUCUAAUUUUGUAUAAAAUAAUUUCAUAUGUAUUUUAAUCUUUCCUGCAGAAUAUUCAACUGAAGAAAAAUUGAAGUAUAAAUUUUGCAAACAUUAUGUGGAGAUUGGACACCUUACAGGGGACCUGAAGCCUAUGACAUUCUGGCACAUGGACUGUCAUGAUCAAGAUUAUUUUCCUCUUGGAGACGUAACUGCUCAAGGUAAACGUAAACCUCAUAAUAGGGCAGUAAUAGUGAAGGAUGAGAAUAAUGGCCUUCUGGGACGUCCUAAAGGUUUGAGGAAGAAAAGAGGUUUGACUUCUUCAUAUCUCUAACUGCGAAGAGAUAUAUUACUGGACUGAUAUUUGUAAGUUUACUGACCUCUUUUUCGACACUGGACUUUGCAACUGAUUAAUCCUGGACGGACUGAACUAGUGUAUGAUAUAUGGACUGUUUGACUAUGCUAUAAAUAUUACUGGAAUAAACUAUUUAACUAGCACA
This 480-nucleotide long non-coding RNA is filed under the name Notechis scutatus (mainland tiger snake). RNAcentral describes it as "lncRNA (ENSNSUG00000000333.1)". Lineage: Eukaryota; Metazoa; Chordata; Lepidosauria; Squamata; Elapidae. The record is from RNAcentral.